CUGGCUCAGGAUGAACGCUAGCGGCAGGCUUAACACAUGCAAGUCGAGGGGCAUCGGGAGUAGCAAUACUUGCCGGCGACCGGCGCAAGGGUGCGUAACGCGUGAGCAACAUGCCCGUAUCAGGGGGAUAAUCCAUGGAGACGUGGUCUAAUACCCCAUAGUAAUUAUGUAAGGCAUCUUAUAUAAUUUAAAGCUUUGGUGGAUACGGAUUGGCUCGCGUGACAUUAGCUAGAUGGUAAGGUAACGGCUUACCAUGGCUACGAUGUCUAGGGGGUUCUGAGAGGAAGGUCCCCCCACACUGGAACUGAGACACGGUCCAGACUCCUACGGGAGGCAGCAGUGAGGAAUAUUGGACAAUGGAUGGAAAUCUGAUCCAGCCAUGCCGCGUGCAAGGAAGACGGCCCUAUGGGUUGUAAACUGCUUUUGUAUGGGAGCAAUAAGGGCUACGCGUAGUCCGAUGAGAGUACCAUACGAAUAAGCACCGGCUAACUCCGUGCCAGCAGCGGC
This 507-nucleotide ribosomal RNA is filed under the name uncultured bacterium. RNAcentral's name for it is "bacterial SSU rRNA". It matches the Rfam family "Bacterial small subunit ribosomal RNA", at positions 19 to 518 of the family's 1533-position model. The record is from RNAcentral.